This 497-nucleotide ribosomal RNA is filed under the name uncultured bacterium. RNAcentral's name for it is "partial 16S ribosomal RNA". It matches the Rfam family "Bacterial small subunit ribosomal RNA", at positions 28 to 507 of the family's 1533-position model. The record is from RNAcentral.
GACGAACGCUGGCGGCGUGCCUAAUACAUGCAAGUAGAACGCUGAAGAGAGGAGCUUGCUCUUCUUGGAUGAGUUGCGAACGGGUGAGUAACGCGUAGGUAACCUGCCUUGUAGCGGGGGAUAACUAUUGGAAACGAUAGCUAAUACCGCAUAACAAUGGAUGACACAUGUCAUUUAUUUGAAAGGGGCAAUUGCUCCACUACAAGAUGGACCUGCGUUGUAUUAGCUAGUAGGUGAGGUAAUGGCUCACCUAGGCGACGAUACAUAGCCGACCUGAGAGGGGGAUAGGACAACCUGGGAACGAGACACGGGCCAGACCCCCAAGGGAGGCAGCAGUAGGGAAUUUUUGGCAAUGGGGGCAACCCUGACCGAGCAACGCCGCGUGAGUGAAGAAGGUUUUCGGAUCGUAAAGCUCUGUUGUAAGUCAAGAACGGGUGUGAGAGUGGAAAGUUCACACUGUGACGGUAGCUUACCAGAAAGGGACGGCUAACUACGUG